AUUGAACGCUGGCGGCAGGCCUAACACAUGCAAGUCGAACGAGUGGCGGACGGGUGAGUAAUGUAUGGGAACCUGCCUGAUGGAGGGGGAUAACUACUGGAAACGGUAGCUAAUACCGCAUACCAUCGGAUGUGCCGAGAUGGGAUUAGCUAGUUGGUGUGGUAACGGCGCACCAAGGCCACGAUGCAUAGCCGACCUGAGAGGAUGACCAGCCAAACUGGAACUGAGACACGGUCCAGACUCCUACGGGAGGCAGCAGUGGGGAAUAUUGCACAAUGGGCGCAAGCCUGAUGCAGCCAUGCCGCGUGUAUGAAGAAGGCCUUCGGGUUGUAAAGUACUUUCAGCGGGGAGGCGGUACCCGCAGAAGAAGCACCGGCUAACUACGUGCCAGCAGCCGCGGUAAUAC
Molecule: ribosomal RNA, 406 nt
Filed under: uncultured bacterium
Lineage: Bacteria
Description: partial 16S ribosomal RNA
Rfam family: Bacterial small subunit ribosomal RNA
Source: RNAcentral